Long non-coding RNA from Amblyraja radiata (thorny skate), 138 nucleotides. RefSeq lists it as uncharacterized. Lineage: Eukaryota; Metazoa; Chordata; Chondrichthyes; Rajiformes; Rajidae. The transcript is spliced from 2 exons. The record is from RefSeq and is a predicted model, not a curated record.
AGCUGUGAAUAACACUGAACACAUGUCUACUAAACUAAAAAGCGCUACCACGUAAGGCUGUGAUUUUUAGGCCAUCUUACUCAGAGUCCCCCGCUCAUCAGGUGCCAAGGAUUUUCCCCAUCGAUGUAAAAUAAGAGA